RNA transcript from Lycium ferocissimum, 788 nucleotides. It is a transcript of the gene named protein NUCLEAR FUSION DEFECTIVE 6, mitochondrial-like, with no coding region annotated. The transcript has 4 exons. NCBI's taxonomy places the organism in Eukaryota, Viridiplantae, Streptophyta, Magnoliopsida, Solanales, Solanaceae. The record is from RefSeq and is a predicted model, not a curated record.
UGCAACUUCUUUCACUUCUCUGAACCUAAAUAAAACCCCAGCAAAGCCACAUUUUGUCUCUCCGCAUUACAAUAAUGGCCACUUUCGCCGCCAGGUCCGUCCUCCGCUCAGCCGCCACUUCCGGCCGAGCCGCCGCCGCCGGCCGAGCCGCCGCCGCCAGAAUUUCCACCGGCGCGAAGCCAAAAAGCUCUCCGUUUCGUAUUCCAACUCAAAAACCUCUCAAUUCUCGCAUUUUCAGGUCGCCAGUAGAAAUGAGUUGUGUUAGAGUGGAAUCGAUGUUUCCAUUUCACACUGCAACUGCCUCAGCAUUGCUCACUUCAAUGCUCUCUGCUACUCCUCGGAGCUAUGGUUGGACGCUUGAAGGGCAAGAGAGGACUAGAUGAACAUCAUGAAAUGGAGUUCAGGAUAUACAAAAAUCUUUACUCUGCCAAUUCAAGUAAUUGAUAAAAGCUCUCCUUCUUAGGUCUGAUGGAUGAUUGUUAUGCGGUGCAUGUCCUCAUAGUUCAAUGGAUAUCGAUGGACAAUGUAACAUUAGAACCCCAGACAUCAUCUUCAUUUUUUGAAUUUUGGAGCUAAACUUUUUUGUAUUCUUUGCCAUUAUAGAGUAGGAUUACAUCCUCUUGGAAAUUGGAAUUAGCUUUAUUCGUGCAGAAAUCUGUUUCCGAGCUAUCUGUAGAUGGAAAGUACUAGUUUUCAUAAUUCCUUACAUCUUGAAUGAAAGCAAUCAAGUUUUAGUCAAACAGUCUAAUAAAGCAUUUGAGUUGUGGAAUUACAAAGUAUCCAUUUAU